This 2583-nucleotide ribosomal RNA is filed under the name Escherichia coli. RNAcentral's name for it is "partial 23S ribosomal RNA". It matches the Rfam family "Bacterial large subunit ribosomal RNA", at positions 364 to 2925 of the family's 2925-position model. Lineage: Bacteria; Pseudomonadati; Pseudomonadota; Gammaproteobacteria; Enterobacterales; Enterobacteriaceae. The record is from RNAcentral.
GUGACAGCCCCGUACACAAAAAUGCACAUAUUGUGAGCUCGAUGAGUAGGGCGGGACACGUGGUAUCCUGUCUGAAUAUGGGGGGACCAUCCUCCAAGGCUAAAUACUCCUGACUGACCGAUAGUGAACCAGUACCGUGAGGGAAAGGCGAAAAGAACCCCGGCGAGGGGAGUGAAAAAGAACCUGAAACCGUGUACGUACAAGCAGUGGGAGCCUCUUUAUGGGGUGACUGCGUACCUUUUGUAUAAUGGGUCAGCGACUUAUAUUCUGUAGCAAGGUUAACCGAAUAGGGGAGCCGAAGGGAAACCGAGUCUUAACUGGGCGUUAAGUUGCAGGGUAUAGACCCGAAACCCGGUGAUCUAGCCAUGGGCAGGUUGAAGGUUGGGUAACACUAACUGGAGGACCGAACCGACUAAUGUUGAAAAAUUAGCGGAUGACUUGUGGCUGGGGGUGAAAGGCCAAUCAAACCGGGAGAUAGCUGGUUCUCCCCGAAAGCUAUUUAGGUAGCGCCUCGUGAAUUCAUCUCCGGGGGUAGAGCACUGUUUCGGCAAGGGGGUCAUCCCGACUUACCAACCCGAUGCAAACUGCGAAUACCGGAGAAUGUUAUCACGGGAGACACACGGCGGGUGCUAACGUCCGUCGUGAAGAGGGAAACAACCCAGACCGCCAGCUAAGGUCCCAAAGUCAUGGUUAAGUGGGAAACGAUGUGGGAAGGCCCAGACAGCCAGGAUGUUGGCUUAGAAGCAGCCAUCAUUUAAAGAAAGCGUAAUAGCUCACUGGUCGAGUCGGCCUGCGCGGAAGAUGUAACGGGGCUAAACCAUGCACCGAAGCUGCGGCAGCGACACUAUGUGUUGUUGGGUAGGGGAGCGUUCUGUAAGCCUGUGAAGGUGGCCUGUGAGGGUUGCUGGAGGUAUCAGAAGUGCGAAUGCUGACAUAAGUAACGAUAAAGCGGGUGAAAAGCCCGCUCGCCGGAAGACCAAGGGUUCCUGUCCAACGUUAAUCGGGGCAGGGUGAGUCGACCCCUAAGGCGAGGCCGAAAGGCGUAGUCGAUGGGAAACAGGUUAAUAUUCCUGUACUUGGUGUUACUGCGAAGGGGGGACGGAGAAGGCUAUGUUGGCCGGGCGACGGUUGUCCCGGUUUAAGCGUGUAGGCUGGUUUUCCAGGCAAAUCCGGAAAACCAAGGCUGAGGCGUGAUGACGAGGCACUACGGUGCUGAAGCGACAAAUGCCCUGCUUCCAGGAAAAGCCUCUAAGCAUCAGGUAACAUCAAAUCGUACCCCAAACCGACACAGGUGGUCAGGUAGAGAAUACCAAGGCGCUUGAGAGAACUCGGGUGAAGGAACUAGGCAAAAUGGUGCCGUAACUUCGGGAGAAGGCACGCUGAUAUGUAGGUGAAGCGACUUGCUCGUGGAGCUGAAAUCAGUCGAAGAUACCAGCUGGCUGCAACUGUUUAUUAAAAACACAGCACUGUGCAAACACGAAAGUGGACGUAUACGGUGUGACGCCUGCCCGGUGCCGGAAGGUUAAUUGAUGGGGUUAGCGGUAACGCGAAGCUCUUGAUCGAAGCCCCGGUAAACGGCGGCCGUAACUAUAACGGUCCUAAGGUAGCGAAAUUCCUUGUCGGGUAAGUUCCGACCUGCACGAAUGGCGUAAUGAUGGCCAGGCUGUCUCCACCCGAGACUCAGUGAAAUUGAACUCGCUGUGAAGAUGCAGUGUACCCGCGGCAAGACGGAAAGACCCCGUGAACCUUUACUAUAGCUUGACACUGAACAUUGAGCCUUGAUGUGUAGGAUAGGUGGGAGGCUUUGAAGUGUGGACGCCAGUCUGCAUGGAGCCGACCUUGAAAUACCACCCUUUAAUGUUUGAUGUUCUAACGUUGGCCCGUAAUCCGGGUUGCGGACAGUGUCUGGUGGGUAGUUUGACUGGGGCGGUCUCCUCCUAAAGAGUAACGGAGGAGCACGAAGGUUGGCUAAUCCUGGUCGGACAUCAGGAGGUUAGUGCAAUGGCAUAAGCCAGCUUGACUGCGAGCGUGACGGCGCGAGCAGGUGCGAAAGCAGGUCAUAGUGAUCCGGUGGUUCUGAAUGGAAGGGCCAUCGCUCAACGGAUAAAAGGUACUCCGGGGAUAACAGGCUGAUACCGCCCAAGAGUUCAUAUCGACGGCGGUGUUUGGCACCUCGAUGUCGGCUCAUCACAUCCUGGGGCUGAAGUAGGUCCCAAGGGUAUGGCUGUUCGCCAUUUAAAGUGGUACGCGAGCUGGGUUUAGAACGUCGUGAGACAGUUCGGUCCCUAUCUGCCGUGGGCGCUGGAGAACUGAGGGGGGCUGCUCCUAGUACGAGAGGACCGGAGUGGACGCAUCACUGGUGUUCGGGUUGUCAUGCCAAUGGCACUGCCCGGUAGCUAAAUGCGGAAGAGAUAAGUGCUGAAAGCAUCUAAGCACGAAACUUGCCCCGAGAUGAGUUCUCCCUGACUCCUUGAGAGUCCUGAAGGAACGUUGAAGACGACGACGUUGAUAGGCCGGGUGUGUAAGCGCAGCGAUGCGUUGAGCUAACCGGUACUAAUGAACCGUGAGGCUUAACCUUACAAC